UCCGGUUUGACACCGGCAGUCUCCUACGAGUCCCCGGCAUUACCCGCUGGCAACAUAGGACAAGGGUUGCGCUCGUUGCGGGACUUAACCCAACAUCUCACGACACGAGCUGACGACAACCAUGCACCACCUGUGUAGGGCCCCGAAGGACACCGUAUCUCUACGGCUUUUCCCUACAUGUCAAGCCCAGGUAAGGUUCUUCGCGUCGCAUCGAAUUAAGCAACAUGCUCCGCCGCUUGUGCGGGCCCCCGUCAAUUCCUUUGAGUUUCAACCUUGCGGCCGUACUCCCCAGGCGGCUCAUUUAAUGCGUUAGCUGCGACGCGGAAGGGGUCGAUACCCCCCACAUCUAAUGAGCAUCGUUUAGGGCUAGGACUAC
This 376-nucleotide unclassified non-coding RNA is filed under the name uncultured Acidimicrobiia bacterium. RNAcentral's name for it is "contains 16S-23S intergenic spacer region". The record is from RNAcentral. Lineage: Bacteria; Bacillati; Actinomycetota; Acidimicrobiia.